AUGGGCGAAAGCCUGGUGCAGCGACGCCGCGUGAGGGAUGAAGGCCUUCGGGUUGUAAACCUCUUUCAGCAGGGACGAAGCGGAAGUGACGGUACCUACAGAAGAAGCACCGGCUAACUACGUGCCAGCAGCCGCGGUAAUACGUAGGGACUUCC
This 155-nucleotide ribosomal RNA is filed under the name uncultured bacterium. RNAcentral describes it as "partial 16S ribosomal RNA". It matches the Rfam family "Bacterial small subunit ribosomal RNA", at positions 371 to 535 of the family's 1533-position model. The record is from RNAcentral.